Molecule: unclassified non-coding RNA, 3712 nt
Filed under: Hevea brasiliensis (rubber tree)
Lineage: Eukaryota; Viridiplantae; Streptophyta; Magnoliopsida; Malpighiales; Euphorbiaceae
Source: RNAcentral
CAAGAAGCUCUCAGCGAGGUAUCUACAUUCUACGGUUUAUGCUUGAGAGGAUACUUCCAUUGGCCUCUACUGGUUUACUGCCUUGCAGUCAGAAAGCAAUUGCCUAAUACAGGAGGCUGGGGCAUGUGUGGUCCAAACUGCAGUGACAUGGAGUGGUCACUGUAUGUGUUACCUUAUUCGUCAUUUGAAGGUGGUGGACCCAGCGCCGUGGUUCACCAGACACAUCAACUCCAACACCCCAUGUUUCGUAUGCGAUUGGCUUUCCACCUCCUGCAGCUCUUCAUGUGCUACGUGACAGACUUCUUCUAUUAUAAUCCCUCCAAAAUCCGCCCCUCUUCACCUUCUCUCCAUUACCGUCUUCUAGCAACUCAACCCCCUCCUACCUCUUUCUCUCUGAACUCAUCCUUUCUUCCCUUCUUUUCCUCUUCACCACCUUCUCUCUCCCAUGGUUCCACUCUUCCAAUCAUGCCUUCUCAGCCCAACUUCCACUUCUCUCUCCCAAGGUGGAUUGGACUGCUUUGCCACGGAAACCGCCAUAGUGACAGUAGCGGGAGUAGUGGCGACAACAGCAUCAACAGCAACAACAUCAACAUCGAUGACAAUACCGUCUCUAACUCCAUAGAAUGCUAUGCCUGUACCCAGGUUGGCGUUCCUGUCUUCCACUCCACCAGCUGCGACCAUGCCCACCAGCCCGAAUGGGUGGCCUCUGCCGGCUCAUCUCUUGUCCCUAUUCAAAACCUGCCCGGCCCCAAGAAGAUUCCCCCAUCUCGAGCCCAAUCACGCUUACCCAAAGGCCCCUUCGAAACCAUCCUCGACCCGCGUAGCAAGCGCGUCCAGAAGUGGAACCGCGCUUUCCUUCUGGCACGUGGCAUGGCUCUAGCCAUUGAUCCAUUGUUCUUCUAUGCGUUAUCAAUCGGGAGAGGUGGGGCUCCGUGCCUGUACAUGGAUGGUGGGUUAGCAGCAAUUGUGACUGUUCUUCGCACGUGCGUGGACGCAGUGCAUUUGUGCCACUUGUGGUUGCAGUUUAGGUUAGCGUACGUGUCGCGGGAAUCGCUGGUUGUAGGGUGUGGGAAACUCGUAUGGGACGCACGUGCCAUCGCCUCCCACUACGUGCGGUCGUUGAAGGGGUUCUGGUUCGAUGCGUUCGUGAUACUGCCAGUCCCACAGGUGAGUCAAGUUAGAACAGCUAAGUUUGUUUCUCGAACGUUUCUUCUUAACUAAACUUGUCCAAUCACCUGUUGCCACGUCAGAAAAACUUUACUGGAACUAACGGCCGAGUUGGGUUAUCGAGGUGAUGUUAUGAUAUUAAAAAAAGUGUGGGGUACUGGUUUUGGUGAUAAGGGUAGCUGUCUGCUCUGAUGCAUGGUGAUCAUGUUAUGUGUUGGUUUUGUUUGGUUCUAGGUUUCUAUAUGCUUCUUUGCCACCAAGCUUCGUGAGAGACUUGUAACUUGUGUACUUCCUAGCCAGCAAGAUGGUUACCGAUUAAACCUUUAAAGUAUUCUCGAAAUUCAAGACUUCAAAUUUUGGUUAUAAAAAAAAAAAAAAUAGCAUUAGUUUUGAUAUAAUUAAGUGCGAUGGCAGGAUCAAUCAUGAGGAGAGUAUGAAAUAAUAUAUAAUUUAUUCAGUAAAUUAUAUAGUUCACUAGAAAAUCAGUUACACAAAAAUCAAUUAAGUCAUGAACAAAGUGAUACCCAAUCAUUUGUUUUAUCACUGCCAAAUCUUAUUUUUGUUUGCUUUCAUGGCAACCUGGUAAUUACUGUGGGUUGUCAAAAUAUAAGGAGCGUAAUUAAGCUAAUAAUUAGAGUUUUCUUUGAUCAUACUGGUUUUGCAGGCUGUAUUUUGGUUAGUUCUUCCCAAAUUGAUAAGAGAAGAGCAGAUUAAGCUGAUAAUGUCAAUACUUCUAUUGAUCUUCAUGUUCCAAUUUCUCCCUAAAGUGUACCACUGCAUUUACUUGAUGAGAAAAAUGCAGAAGGUCACAGGUUACAUCUUCGGUACUAUUUGGUGGGGUUUUGGACUUAAUCUCAUUGCCUACUUCAUUGCAUCUCAUGUUGCUGGAGGAUGUUGGUAUGUUCUUGCUAUUCAACGCGCUGCUUCUUGCCUCAGGCAGCAGUGUCAAAGAAGACCAAAGUGUGACCUCUCUUUGUCCUGCUCAGAGGAGAUCUGUUAUCAGUUUUUGAUACCUGCAAGCACAAUUGGAAAUCCAUGCGGUGGUAACUUUACUACCACUGUCAAAAAGCCAAUGUGCUUAGAUAUUACAGGGCCAUUCAAGUAUGGCAUUUAUAAAACUGCUCUUCCUGUCAUUUCUAGCAAUUCUCUGGCUGUCAAGAUCCUUUAUCCCAUAUUUUGGGGUUUAAUGACUCUCAGUACCUUUGGCAAUGAUCUGGAACCCACGAGCAAUUGGCUAGAAGUAAUGUUCAGUAUAUGCAUAGUGCUCAGUGGUUUAAUGCUUUUCACUUUAUUGAUUGGGAAUAUCCAGGUGGGUUUCAUUCAUUGAUGUGUUAAAAAUUUUUAACUGAUUAUGAUGAAUGAAGACUAAUAGAUGAAUGCCAUGUAUGAAGGUGUUUCUGCAUGCUGUCAUGGCAAAGAAGAGGAAAAUGCAGCUGAGAUGCAGAGAUAUGGAAUGGUGGAUGAGGCGGAGACAGUUACCGUCUCGUUUGAGGCAGAGAGUUCGCCAUUUUGAACGACAAAGAUGGGCAGCCAUGGGAGGACAUGAUGAGAUGGAAUUAAUCAAAGACUUACCUGAAGGACUCCGAAGAGAUAUCAAGCGCUACCUUUGCCUAGACCUCAUCAAGAAGGUUAAAGACAUGACCAUUCCCAAUGAAAUCUUUUGCCCUCUUUGUCAAUCUUGUUAAUCUACGUUUACCACAACCUGAAUUUCUCAUCAGGUACCUCUGUUCCACAACUUGGAUGAUCUUAUACUGGACAACAUUUGCGACCGGGUUAGGCCCCUUGUAUUCUCUAAAGAUGAAAAGGUGAAAAACCCAGUUCAGGUUAAAUCAUUUCACCGCCUUAUUAGUAAUAGAAUGAAUUGACAAAUUUUCAUGGCCCUGUGAAGCAGAUAAUUAGAGAAGGAGACCCUCUGCAAAGGGUGGUGUUCAUCAUUAGCGGGCGUAUAAAGAGAAGCCAAAGCCUCAGCAAAGGCAUGGUAGCAACAAGUGUUCUUGAAUCAGGAGGGUUUCUGGGUGAUGAGCUGCUCUCUUGGUGCCUUCGCCGCCCAUUUAUAGACCGGCUUCCAGCCUCAUCUGCUACAUUUGUCUGUGUAGAAUCCACAGAAGCAUUUGGUCUUGAUGCAAACCAUCUUCGUUACAUCACAGAUCAUUUCCGCUACAAAUUUGCCAACGAAAGGCUAAAGCGAACUGCGAGAUAUUACUCAUCGAAUUGGCGAACAUGGGCAGCAGUGAACAUACAAUUUGCUUGGCGUCGCUACAGGACGAGGACCAGAGGUCCGGUGAGUCCUCUUGCAGAAAAUGGAGGCUCUGACCGUCGACUACUUCAGUAUGCUGCUAUGUUCAUGUCAAUUAGGCCACAUGACCACCUCGAAUAAGACCUUGUUUAGUUAAUCUUCACUUCUCUUUGUUGCUUAAUAAAAUAUUGUUCCUUUCUUAGGGGCAACAUUAGAUUUUUUUUUUUUUUUGUACUAUAUGAGCCAUUUGAGCAUUGGAAAAGAGACUCAUUCUUCCCAAGUUAAUAAAAAGUUUAUUUUAGUUUCUUU